UCCGUAGCAUGUUUUCUCUUUUCAGAAUUUCCCGAAACUACAGUGUAUUACUUCCGAUUUUCGUGAGGAUUUUGCUCUGCUCUCUGCAAUUACCCUUUGAGUACCAUCACUACAGAUGAAUCUGGCACCCCUGCUCUCUGAAAUAGCCCUGGUGCCUCAUGGAGAUGAAAUUCGCUGCCUUUCAGUUUCCAUUUGGUAACAGGCCCACGCACAUCAAGUCCCGUAGGCCGUUGGUUGCUCGGCCCCGUGCACAAGAGUGGCGGAUGAGAGAGGGAAACUCCACAGAAGGAUUCGGAGGCAAGAGCAGCCUGGCCUCAGUGGGAAAGGGCAGAAUACUCCUCUGGGGGAAGUCUUGUCAUGAGCAGCCCUAUGGAGAAUCCGAGCAGUGAGGCCAGCCACCAGGCAAGUGGGCUUGUAUGCAGAUCCUUCGGACCCAGCCAAGCCUGACACCUAGACUGGGACAGACCCUGAACAAGAACACCCAGCUAAGCCACUCCAGAUUCCUGAUACACAGAAACUAUGAGAUAAUAAAAGUUUGCUGUUUGAGAUGGCUA
Long non-coding RNA from Herpailurus yagouaroundi (jaguarundi), 554 nucleotides. RefSeq lists it as uncharacterized. The record is from RefSeq and is a predicted model, not a curated record. NCBI's taxonomy places the organism in Eukaryota, Metazoa, Chordata, Mammalia, Carnivora, Felidae. The transcript has 2 exons.